Molecule: ribosomal RNA, 427 nt
Filed under: Actinomadura livida
Lineage: Bacteria; Bacillati; Actinomycetota; Actinomycetes; Streptosporangiales; Thermomonosporaceae
Description: bacterial SSU rRNA
Rfam family: Bacterial small subunit ribosomal RNA
Source: RNAcentral
UGCAGUCGAGCGCCCCGCCAGGUGAGCGGCAGACGGUGGAGUAAGGCGUGGUAAUCUACCAUUUGCUACGCCCUGCCAGUUGGAAAAGACUGCUAAUACCGUAUGUGCCCUUUGGGGGAAAGAUUUAUCGGCUCUGAUAGGCCCGCGUUGGAUUAGCUAGUUGGUGGGGUAAAGGCCUACCAAGGCGAUGAUCCAUAACUGGUCUGACAGGGUGACCACCCACACUGGGACUGAGACACGGACCGGACUCCUUGGGGCUGCAGCACUGGCCAAUAUUGUACAAUGGGCGCAAGCCUGAUCCAUUCAUGCCUGGUGAAUGAUGAGAGCCCUCGGCUUCUAAAGCUCUUUCACCGCCUAAGAUAAUGACAGCUCUUUCAGAAGAAACCACGGCUAACUUCCUGCCCCUGCCCCGAAAAUGCAGCUAACU